GUAGGUGGCAAGCGUUGUCCGGAAUUAUUGGGCGUAAAGCGCGCGCAGGCGGUUCUUUAAGUCUGAUGUGAAAGCCCACGGCUCAACCGUGGAGGGUCAUUGGAAACUGGAGAACUUGAGUACAGAAGAGGAAAGCGGAAUUCCACGUGUAGCGGUGAAAUGCGUAGAGAUGUGGAGGAACACCAGUGGCGAAGGCGGCUUUCUGGUCUGUAACUGACGCUGAGGCGCGAAAGCGUGGGGAGCAAACAGGGAUUAGAUACCCUGGUAGUCCACGCCGUAAACGAUGAGUGCUAAGUGUAGGGGGGGUUUUCCGCCCCCCUUAGUGCUGCAGCUAACGCAUUAAGCACUCCGCCUGGGGAUACGGCCGCAAGGCUG
Molecule: ribosomal RNA, 375 nt
Filed under: uncultured organism
Description: partial 16S ribosomal RNA
Rfam family: Bacterial small subunit ribosomal RNA
Source: RNAcentral